This 253-nucleotide ribosomal RNA is filed under the name uncultured bacterium. Its description in RNAcentral is "partial 16S ribosomal RNA". It matches the Rfam family "Bacterial small subunit ribosomal RNA", at positions 524 to 776 of the family's 1533-position model. The record is from RNAcentral.
UACGGAGGGUGCAAGCGUUAUUCGGAAUUACUGGGCGUAAAGAGUGCGUAGGCGGUUUGAUAAGCGGAGUGUGAAAUCCCCGGGCUUAACCUGGGAACUGCAUUCCGAACUGUCAAGCUAGAGUAUGAUAGAGGGUGGUGGAAUUCCGAGUGUAGCGGUGAAAUGCGUAGAUAUUCGGAGGAACACCAGUGGCGAAGGCGACCACCUGGAUCAAUACUGACGCUGAGGCACGAAAGCGUGGGGAGCAAACAGG